ACUCCUAUAAAUAGGGGAAAGCGCACCCCUUUUCUUCGCCUCCUAUACCUCCUCCCCUUCUUGUUCUAGGGUUUUGCCCCGGCUUAGGGUUCCGCCGGGCCGCCGUUUUCUCCUUCUAAACAACCCAUUUUCUCGAUUCGGGGCUUCUGAUUUGAGACUUGAGAGAUUUUAGAUCUUGAUUCUUUGUAGAAGUCUUGCACGAAGCACCCCGGGCUUUGCUGAAGAACUCCGUGACGACGGAAGCCCCAAUGCUCGUGCCAGAUGGAUUCGCCGUUCCGUGUUGCAGUUCUGUUCACGAAUUCCUACGACCGAUCUGUGUCAAUGUAACGGCUAAACUUUAGUUUUUUAUGAUGUUUCUUUCCAUCUGUUUGUUAUCGUUUGCCUCUCCACACCUUUAGCUUUUUGAGGUUUCGUUCCCCAAUGAGCCUAGUCAUGGAGGCAUACAGCGAGAACGGCGGGGUGAACGUGGAGGCUUACUCUUUUUUCCAUGGUUUUGCCUCUAAAAUCUCUCGCCACAACUAGAUGCCGAUCAAAAGCUUGGAAAUUUGUAUUUGUUCGCCAAUAUCACGCGAUGAGCUAAGAGAGUUCCGAAACCCUUUUUUAUUUUUUCCCUUCAAGUGGAUAUUGUUUGUCGCCUCUAUAAUUUUCUCUAGUGUCUAAGUUGGCUGGGGAUGGUAUUUUUGCUAUCAGGAUACGAGGGAAAAAAUUGGAUUGAGUCUUCCUUUUUUUUGGAGGGGUACUAUAUUUUUCACUUAAAAUGCUCUACUCUUGGCAAUGGAUAUAACCUACCAGCGCUUCUGAUAAUUGUGCAUGAAGCAUAUGAAAAGAAUGGUUGAUUUCCUUGACAUGAGCUGAUGCAUAUCUUUUCAGGAUUUGCUUAUAAUUUUCUAGAAAAAAAUUAAAUGCUAGGAUAAUGCGGUAUUCUAUUCUUCUAUUUGUUUUAGACUCAUCGUGAUGCAUUGUCUGUGAUGAAAAUCUAGACAGCUUCAAAAACGCCAGUUCUGCUUCAGAACGAUGGAGGAAGCUGUUCUGUGCUUCGGUACAUUUUGGAUUAUCAUUGUUUUUUCUAGUUUUUCACCUAGGAUGGUUGUUUUUUUGUUUUUCUCACAUCCAUUUAUUUGAACUAACUUUAGCGGUCUCUGAUAGUUGUUUUUCUCCCAGCUGCCUAUGAUGAUAUCUCCAAGUUUAUGAGAUGUAAAUAGCUUCAAGUCCCUGUUUUACAGGGAGAACCUACUUGGAACUCCUACAUUCAAUGACAUCAGUGGACUUUUCUGAGGCAUUGUUUCUUUUUUGAUCAUGAUGUUAUCUUGAUAUGUAUGAAUUAUAGUGAUUAACAAAGUACGUUCGGGCUGUUUCUAAACUCUUAUUUCUUUUAUGUAUUUAAUGUACGGUUUUUUUUUAAUGAAAAAUAUUGAGGAGUGAUUUCAGCUGGACGUGAUGGUAGAAGCAUUAGCCUUUUUUGCUUUUUAAACACUCACUUUGAAGUGUAUAUCUUGUACAUAAGUAUUUGGUUGUUGAAUGGUAAGCCUUUUUUGUGAAACACAAAACAUUUAGCUUUUUGCCACCGCCAAUGAUUAUUUGUCUGCAAAAUGGAUGUGUUGUGGAACCAAGUCCCUGCUUGCAGGGAGAACCUACUUGGGGAGGCAGCAGUUAACAUGACAUCAACAGAUACUUCUGAGGCAUAGAGAUUUAUAUGUUCAGCCUUUGAAUUUUCUUGAUUUUUCUUUCACUGUUAAGAAAUUAUUGGUGAUGCUACUCGCUAGCUAUGUCUGUAAUUCUUAUGUACACUAUUUAUACAAACACACUACAUGUAAUGAAUCCCCAACUUACCCAGAACUAAAUCCCCAACUCAAGUUUUAGCUUGGUCUGCAUGUAAUGAAUGUAAUUUCAAACAGCAACUAGGUAAACAAUGAAAAAAAUAUUAUGGCAAUUAAAUUAUGUUGUCUCCCUUCCCUAUUCUCUUUUGUGGCCUAAGCCUUUUUACAACAUUAUGUUACCUGAUUUAUUUGUACCUACAUGUGUAUGUAUCUGAGUUUAACUAUCCUCUUGCUACACUGCACAAUUGGCAUGUAGGAACUGAUGAACUCAGAAAUGGAGUGUGGUCAUCAGCUUCCUUUCUUAUCAUAUGAGAUUAGGGCUGAAUAACAGCAGCAGAACAUUUUAUAUUUUUAUAUGUUCUUGCAUGUUAUAAGCCGCUGUAUAGUCAUCCUUCUUCUUUAUUCUGUGGUAUGUUGAAUUACACUUUUCCAUUCUUUAAGAGGCUUGAGAAGUUAGAAUGUUCUGCAAGUAACAUGCUGACAUCAAUUAUUGGCUCUAUGGGGCAUCAUAAUUCAGCUCUUUACAAUGUUACAAUCUAAGUAUUUUGGUUGAGAUGCAAUGGAAAUAACCAUGCAAGUAUUGUUGAAAAUUACAGGUGCAAUCCCUUCCCAAUCAGCUAGCUACAGUUGCAAGACAUAUGAGGAUUGUGUAUGUGCAUCUUAUCAUGAUUGAACCCAAGUAAAAGCUUAGGCUACAUGUUCCACAGCAUUCUGUCUUUUACUGAUAUGGAACUUUUUAGAUUAUUUUAAACUCAAUAUCUUCAAAUAAUUGGGAUUUUGCUGCUUCCUAUGUAAAAUUUAUUUACAAUAAUUUGUGGUGCUACCAAGAUUGAUAAGGUUUUGAAACAAUAAUAUUUGAUAAUUAAUCUUUUUGCUUCUUGAGUUACAAAAAUAUAGCAAUUAUUCUUUCUUGUAUUUUGCGUUUAACUAAUCAUAGGACAUGUUUCUUCUAUUUGGCUAUAGCUGAUAUUGGAGGUUCUAUAUUGUUCCCAUGUCUAAGUAAAUCUUUUCAUUCUGAGGUUAUCAUUGGACUAACAUGUCAACACUUCAGCUUUUUUGUUUCUCUACAUUUUUUUGGUGGAGCUCAUUGAUGGAAUAUGUGAACCUUAUUGUUUUGUUGUAUGCUUUAUUGGUCUCGUUCUCUAUGAUCUCUCUCUCUCUCUCUCUCUCUCUCUCACAGUAUAGAGUUUAUCCCUUAUUUUCCCUCUUGAUUUUUGGGUUUUUCUUCGUAUUCUCCUGAUAUUAUGUGGUUGAUUUUAUAAUGGUGGUUAGGAUUUCCGCUACAUGUACCAAGGUUGGGGUUUUGGGUUGCCCUGGUCUUGAAGUUGCCGGAUCUGGCUGUAGCUAUAUGAAUCAAGGGAAGAGGGAAGAAAACUGGUCGGCUUGUCCUCCUUAUUGUUGGCAACCCGCUUACCAAGCUUCCCACAUUAAUCUGUUGUAAAACGUAGCUUCCUAUUUUAUUCUUUUUUAUUUUUUGUGAGGAGGGUAGAAGAGGGAGAUGGUGCAUGUGUUAGCCAUUUUUAGAGGACCUUCUCACACAUCAAGAGCUAUCCAUUUUCUUUGAUUUUUUAAUGUUUUUAUCAAUUUUUUAAAGUGAUGAUAGCUCGGCCAUUAUCCAGGCAAGCUGCUUUUUAAUUGCUGCAGAUUGUGUCAUCGAUGCCUACAUCUGAGUCUUAUUUUCUUUUAA
Molecule: non-coding RNA, 3504 nt
Organism: Phoenix dactylifera (date palm)
Lineage: Eukaryota; Viridiplantae; Streptophyta; Magnoliopsida; Arecales; Arecaceae
Source: RefSeq, a predicted model, not a curated record